AUGGCGUCACCCACCUAUCCAGUCUUUAUUAUGGGAAUUCUGUUCUCCCCGACCAGCAAUCACGCACCCAUCCCUUGGCUCCGGCUUCUGUCCACUCACUGCUUUUACACUAUCCGUGACCAAGCCGUGAGGUUACCAGGCGGCACCUCCCUCCUGAAUUUAAUCUCAGAUGCGGCUGUGUUUCCCGACCCCUCACUUCUGAGGGACUGCAGCUUUGACCUGCUCAGACCUUGUGGGGGAGGGUCUCAUGGGCAGUGGCCGGGUGCCUGCCCACCCCCAGGAACAUUCACGGGGCCUUGCUGCUGCUGAUACCCAGAGACUGCGGCUUGGUGCCUGCCUGCCCCAGAAAAAGUUCACGCAAUGUGGUAGCAGCACCGUUUCAGGAUUAUGGAAAAUCACAGGACACAUCUGGCACCAGGCUUCCCCUUAACGUCCUUGUUCCAACACCAGCGAAUGUGGUUGUUCUCCAGGGUGUGCUGGGACCUGCUGCAGCCACCCCACAGCCUCUACCAAAUGUCCUCCCAGCAGGCGAACCGCCACUCCCCAUUUGGCCCACGGACCCCUCGGACUUCGCUCUCUGCUCCUGGGGAUUCGCCCUUCCCACCACAGCACCGCCAGGCUCCCAAAUAAGCCCCCUGGACAUGGCACUCAUCAGUACUUCCACUCCCUGGCCAGCUGGGAGGAGCACCGGAGGCCCUUCGGACCUGGUGAAGCUGCCACUCUGGCUGCAAAUACCAGCAAGGGGUUACGCACAAGGGUGAUGCUUUCAGAUCGGGCUCCCCUGCAUCAGAGCUGUACCCGUAGGCCCAUGAGCCUCUUUGAAGGAGCUUCAGAAGGUAAGACCUCCCCAAGUACAAAGUUACCGAGGACUAGGGGGAAAAGGCUCAUCUCACUUUCAAUUUACAUUAAAUAAGCCACAUGGGAACUAUGGCUCCUUUACUGGCUCACACCCUCCCCUCCAACUGCUUGUUCAUAGACACACCACAAGCAAGCAGUCUAAAAUAGUCUUUAGCGCCUUUUACAAAACUGGCCUGGAUAUGAACAUCACAAAUGCAAUGUGCAAACUGAAAUCAGGGCUGAUGGUGUAUUAUCGGUGAUUGUUUAUAUUUAUCUGCCAGUGACUUCUUCAGAGCCUCAUAUUUAUUCAUUCAGUUCUUCCUUUGGGUCACAUCAGGGAGAAUGAUUCUUAUAUAUAGUGCUUCUUGGGAGGCACAGGAUCCGGGAUGUAUUCCUUCCCUCUCAUAUGAGGCGGAAGAAGAACAGUCAUUAAGGAUUUUCCUGUAACUUGGGGACAGACCCACUGGGGUCUGAGAACACACACGCUGACACCAUUCUAUGUAAACCCAGACAUGCUUCUGCUCAUUUUAAUUAGACAGAUAAAAUUAGCAAGGAGAUUAAGAUAAAAGGAGAAAUUAAAAAUAUUUAAAUGUUAGGUGGAAUUUACAAAAGUGAAUUGAACAAUGAGGUACAAGAAGGAAUGCGGAGAAACACAGACACAUUUGAAACAUUCCUCGGAUGCCACACGGCUUAAGCCAGUCCACAAAUAAGGUAAGAAGAAUUCUCCCUUGCCAUCUCUUGAAUUACAGAUUCUAGGGAUGUGGAAGAACAUUCUCCAGAAACACUUUCCUUCUCCUUCUCUUCAGAUGUUACCAAGAAUAAUCAGUCAGUAUCAUUCUAGAAUGGCCCACACUGCAUCCAAUUCAAACCACUCACCUGUUUCCUGUCUGAAUUUGCAAGCUCCUGAGAGUUUUUUCCCCUUUAAUUUUAUUUUUCUCCCUGCUCUCUCUCCCCAUUGGGCCAAUAGGCCAACUGGGCCAACCAGAACACCAAACCAACAACACGCUCCAGCCCCUUUGGAUUUUCCAGGGGCAAAGAUCUCCCGGUUCUUCUUUCUUGUUUGCAUCUGUUACGAACAAGCACAGUCAUUUUUAUAACACAGACAUACAUAUGUGUGCUCCUGCACACGGAAACAGGUUUUUCUUUUUUUUUUUUUUUUCCAAUUUGUGGUUUCUUUUUCCUUUUUGCAGAAAAUGCAAACAAAAGAAAAACAAGGUUUUCAAUUGAAGGUACAUCUCUUCUUCAAUAUGAAGACAUUAAUUGAAUUGGUUGGAUCCCCCAUGCAGUGGUCAGCAAAGUCCUUUGGCAACUGACAGAACGACAUCUGGAGACUCAGGAGCUGGGGUUUGUUUGAAGAAACUUCCCUACACGAGUCAUGAGCAAAGGGAAAUGGAUGUGGGAGAAGGGAGAGGGCUCGUGGGGAGGAGUACAAAAGGAGAAAAGAAAAGAAUGUCAUUGGUGAGGAAGAAAAUGGAAAACUGCCUCUGUUUCUUCCCUCUACCUCCUUCCCUUUCUUCCUGUGGAUCGGUGACUCCAGCCCCGAGUGGGAGCGGAGUUUACUCUUGGUUGCCCCGAUGCAUACUGUUUUGUCUUCACUUCUGUUGAACAUCACCCUUUCAUAUUUUUAUUAUUAUGUUUUGGUUUCCCACGGCAUCUUAUACAUGCUUCUGUCACUAAGAAAUGAAGAUUGCCUAUUAAGAACAGGUCCAGUCUCUUCUUCACUGAUGUAAUGCAUUUCUUAGCUGAGAAGCCACUCUUUCCAGAACACUCCACAGUGGUCAACCUCUGGUUCCCUCUUGAGCAUGGUCCUUUUCCUUCCUCUCCUCCCCCCAGAAAAUGAGAGUUCUCAUGCCAUUGCCGUUGGUGACUGACUCAUCUGGACCCUCAUAGAAUGAAUGCUGUUCAGGAUCUUCUUCUGAUGACCUGCCAAGGUGACCCCUAUUCUCAGGAGGUCUCUAGGAGGGAAAAAGUCACAAAAAAGGGCACGUUAGUGUUACGGCAGCUUUUCAAGGAUCACAACUCAUCACAGAAGGCAAGCUCUUGAAUUAGACUGAGGAAAUUGCUCCAUUGGAUUCCUCCAGUUGUGGGGGGUUAGGGGGUGAUGGCUCCAUACUCAGCCACAUCACAGUGAGGAAGCAGGCGCAGCCCCACCAGCACGAGCACCCAUUGCCGCCCCUGAACCCGGGCUCUCCGGUCAUCUAGGGCAUCCAUGCCAGCUCUGCAAGAUGGGGAAGCUGCUUUUCCACUGGUAAGUGCUGCUUUUGUUGGUGAUGGUGGUGCCUGACAAUAAUUCAUAGUGGCAGGGACUGCCUUUAUAUGGCAUCAACGGAAAAUGAACUCACAUUUAAAAAAUGAAUUCUGUUGUUUAGUGGAUGCUAGGCUAGAUGCACAUUCAAGCCAUCUCCCUAGGGAAAGUGGAGCUUCCAUCAUUUCUGGCAAGAACCAACCUCAAAGAGGUAGAGUGGGGGCACCUAGGUGGCUUAGUUGGUUGAGCAGUUGAGCAUCCACUCUUGGUUUCAG
Molecule: long non-coding RNA, 3357 nt
Organism: Felis catus (domestic cat)
Lineage: Eukaryota; Metazoa; Chordata; Mammalia; Carnivora; Felidae
Exons: 4
Source: RefSeq, a predicted model, not a curated record